This 366-nucleotide ribosomal RNA is filed under the name uncultured organism. RNAcentral describes it as "bacterial SSU rRNA". It matches the Rfam family "Bacterial small subunit ribosomal RNA", at positions 526 to 896 of the family's 1533-position model. The record is from RNAcentral.
CGGAGGAUCCAAGCGUUAUCCGGAAUCAUUGGGUUUAAAGGGUCCGUAGGCGGGUUUAUAAGUCAGUGAUGAAAGCCCAUCGCUCAACGAUGGAACGGCCAUUGAUACUGUAGAUCUUGAACUAUUAGGAAGUAACUAGAAUAUGUAGUGUAGCGGUGAAAUGCUUAGAGAUUACAUGGAAUACCAAUUGCGAAGGCAGGUUACUACUAAUGGAUUGACGCUGAUGGACGAAAGCGUGGGUAGCGAACAGGAUUAGAUACCCUGGUAGUCCACGCCGUAAACGAUGGAUACUAGCUGUUCGGAGCAAUCUGAGUGGCUAAGCGAAAGUGAUAAGUAUCCCACCUGGGGAGUACGUUCGCAAGAAUG